UCAUAGAUCUGAGUUUUAUGA
RNAcentral lists this non-coding RNA (21 nucleotides) under Caenorhabditis elegans. The record is from RNAcentral. Lineage: Eukaryota; Metazoa; Nematoda; Chromadorea; Rhabditida; Rhabditidae.